AUUGAACGCUGGCGGCAGGCCUAACACAUGCAAGUCGAACGGCAGCGGGGGGUAGCUUGCUACCCCGCCGGCGAGUGGCGGACGGGUGAGUAAUGCCUGGGGAGCUGCCCAAUCGAGGGGGAUACCAGUUGGAAACGACUGCUAAUACCGCAUACGCCCUGAGGGGGAAAGGUGGGGAUCUUCGGACCUACCGCGAUUGGAUGCACCCAGGUGGGAUUAGCUAGUUGGUGAGGUAACGGCUCACCAAGGCGACGAUCUCUAGCUGGUCUGAGAGGAUGACCAGCCACACUGGAACUGAGACACGGUCCAGACUCCUACGGGAGGCAGCAGUGGGGAAUAUUGCACAAUGGGGGAAACCCUGAUGCAGCCAUGCCGCGUGUGUGAAGAAGGCCUUAGGGUUGUAAAGCACUUUCAGUGGGGAGGAAAGGGUGAAAGCUAAUACCUUUCAUCUGUGACGUUACCCACAGAAGAAGCACCGGCUAACUCCGUGCCAGCCGCCGCCGUAA
This 506-nucleotide ribosomal RNA is filed under the name uncultured bacterium. Its description in RNAcentral is "partial 16S ribosomal RNA". It matches the Rfam family "Bacterial small subunit ribosomal RNA", at positions 29 to 523 of the family's 1533-position model. The record is from RNAcentral.